UUUUUCAUAUUUAAAGCUUCUGUGAGGAACUUUCUGUUUGAGCAAAUCGAUCGUAAUAUAAGGAAGAUGGCAGCAGCAUGUCCAGACUUUUUGAACGGUGUGGCGCUACGGAAGUGCUGAGUUAUUAAAGAGUGGCAUGAGCAGUUUGAUGGCCAAAAGUAUGGAGUCUGGAGAGGAAAGAACACUUCAUUAAGAAACAAAACCAAAAGAAAAGCAUCACAAUGUUGACUGAGUACAUCUGACCACAUAGUUGGAGUGUGUACUGUCAUGCAAGGUGGGCACGC
Long non-coding RNA from Notolabrus celidotus (New Zealand spotty), 284 nucleotides. RefSeq lists it as uncharacterized. Lineage: Eukaryota; Metazoa; Chordata; Actinopteri; Labriformes; Labridae. The record is from RefSeq and is a predicted model, not a curated record. The transcript is spliced from 3 exons.